This is a long non-coding RNA of Helianthus annuus (common sunflower), 902 nucleotides long. RefSeq lists it as uncharacterized. The transcript is spliced from 2 exons. NCBI's taxonomy places the organism in Eukaryota, Viridiplantae, Streptophyta, Magnoliopsida, Asterales, Asteraceae. The record is from RefSeq and is a predicted model, not a curated record.
UUUGUAAUCUCUAAGCAAUUUUAGUUCAAGAAGAUAAAUUUUAAGAUCUGGGCUUAGGUUAGUGAGGGAUGUGAAUUAAGAUGAUUGGGCUGCCUGCUAGAUUUCUAGAAUGAUUGGAACAAGAUCCACCUAAGAGCUUUACAAAAAUCACAAAGUGCAUGCAUGAUAGAAAAUAGGGAUGAGCGUGGUACCGGUACCGUACCGAAUCGGUAUCGGUACCGAAAAUACCGAUACCGAAAUUCGCCAAAAUUGGGUACCGGUACGGUACCGGUAUUUAAAAGUAAAAUUCAGUAUUUUACCGGUGCCGUAUUGAACCGGUACCGAUAUCGAAAGUACCGAUACCGAAAAUGCCAAAAAGUUGGUACCGGUACCGAAACAAUUCGGUACGAGAAAUUCGGUACCGGUACCAGUACCAAAUGCUCAUCGCUAGCUUAGAGGACUCUUUGGAUGGCAAUUGUACCAAAUUGAAGUAUCACAUCCAUUACCAAUUCUACUAACACAAUGGACUUUAAUAUUAUCUCUGCAUUAUAAUAUUAUCAUCCCACCCGUUUUUGACAUGUAGUAAUUAUGGCAUAAGUAAGACCUGAUUCGAUACUUUCAUUUUUUUUCUGGAAUGAUUGAUGGUACUUAUAGGCUUAUAGCAAGACAACACACUUGCAAGGCUGAUUAUAUCAAUGGCCCAACAUAUUAAUUGAAGUCUGCUUGAGUUGGCCCAACAUAUUAACUGAACUACUGAAGUGUGCUCGUGAUGGCCUAACAUAUUAAUUAUAGUAUGCUUGUGAAUUGUGAUGGCCCGAUACAUGUGUAUAAGCAAUGGCCAAUUCAUUUUGUAUACAUCAAACAUAACUGAUGGUCAACACAUUUGGUAACAAGUACAAGUAACAAGGGUUGAUGUUUAGAAA